This 211-nucleotide unclassified non-coding RNA is filed under the name plant metagenome. Its description in RNAcentral is "partial contains small subunit ribosomal RNA, internal transcribed spacer 1, and 5.8S ribosomal RNA". The record is from RNAcentral.
UUUCCGUAGGUGAACCUGCGGAAGGAUCAUUCAUAAUAAAGUGUUUUAUGGCACUUUUUAAAAAUCCCUAUCCACCUUGUGUGCAAUGUUAGAUCUCGUCAAUCUUGGCGAGAUUUUUAUACAUCAACUCAUUUUUUAACUAAUUUGUCUGAAAAAUAUUAUGAAUACUUAAUUCAAAAUACAACUUUCAACAACGGAUCUCUUGGCUCUC